This 253-nucleotide ribosomal RNA is filed under the name uncultured bacterium. RNAcentral's name for it is "partial 16S ribosomal RNA". It matches the Rfam family "Bacterial small subunit ribosomal RNA", at positions 524 to 776 of the family's 1533-position model. The record is from RNAcentral.
UACGAAGGGGGCUAGCGUUGCUCGGAAUCACUGGGCGUAAAGCGCACGUAGGCGGAUUGCUAAGUCAGGGGUGAAAUCCUGGAGCUCAACUCCAGAACUGCCUUUGAUACUGGCGAUCUUGAGUCCGGGAGAGGUGAGUGGAACUGCGAGUGUAGAGGUGAAAUUCGUAGAUAUUCGCAAGAACACCAGUGGCGAAGGCGGCUCACUGGCCCGGUACUGACGCUGAGGUGCGAAAGCGUGGGGAGCAAACCGG